RNAcentral lists this ribosomal RNA (735 nucleotides) under uncultured bacterium. Its description in RNAcentral is "bacterial SSU rRNA". It matches the Rfam family "Bacterial small subunit ribosomal RNA", at positions 771 to 1501 of the family's 1533-position model. The record is from RNAcentral.
AACAGGAUUAGAUACCCUGGUAGUCCACGCUGUAAACGGUGGGUACUAGGUGUGGGGUCCAUUCCACGGGUUCCGUGCCGUAGCUAACGCUUUAAGUACCCCGCCUGGGGAGUACGGCCGCAAGGCUAAAACUCAAAGGAAUUGACGGGGCCCCGCACAAGCGGCGGAGCAUGCGGAUUGAUUCGAUGCAACGCGUAAAACCUUACCUGGGUUUGACAUGGAUCGGGAGCGCUCAGAGAUGGGUGUGCCUCUUUUGGGGUCGGUUCACAGGUGGUGCAUGGCUGUCGUCAGCUCGUGUCGUGAGAUGUUGGGUUAAGUCCCGCAACGAGCGCAACCCUUGUUCACUGUUGCCAGCACGUUAUGGUGGGGACUCAGUGGAGACCGCCGGGGUCAACUCGGAGGAAGGUGGGGAUGACGUCAAGUCAUCAUGCCCCUUAUGUCCAGGGCUUCACGCAUGCUACAAUGGCUGGUACAGAGAGUGGCGAGCCUGUGAGGGUGAGCGAAUCUCGGAAAGCCGGUCUCAGUUCGGAUUGGGGUCUGCAACUCGACCUCAUGAAGUCGGAGUCGCUAGUAAUCGCAGAUCAGCAACGCUGCGGUGAAUACGUUCCCGGGGCUUGUACACACCGCCCGUCAAGUCAUGAAAGUUGGUAACACCCGAAGCCGGUGGCCUAACCGUUGUGGGGGAGCCGUCGAAGGUGGGACUGGUGAUUAGGACUAAGUCGUAACAAGGUAACC